AGUACAACAACAACAAACCCAGUGUAUUCCCACUUAGUGGGGUCUGGGGGGGGUAAGAUGUACGCAGUCCAUACCUCUACCUCUGAUGAAGUAGAAAGGCUGUUUCCGAAAGACCCCCGGCUCAAGUCACGAGAUAUCACACAAACACAUAGUACAGCACAGCAGCAGAUGACAUAACAUAAAUACGGCACCCAUAGGGAAUAUAAAACAGAGUAAAGCAGGAAUGCAGGAAUAUAAAGCAGAGGAAAGCACACAGAUUCGUAAUAAACAUGGAACACGGAACACGNNNN
Molecule: long non-coding RNA, 290 nt
Filed under: Capsicum annuum
Lineage: Eukaryota; Viridiplantae; Streptophyta; Magnoliopsida; Solanales; Solanaceae
Description: long non-coding RNA (CANN_LNC007106)
Source: RNAcentral